This 1348-nucleotide ribosomal RNA is filed under the name uncultured bacterium. RNAcentral describes it as "bacterial SSU rRNA". It matches the Rfam family "Bacterial small subunit ribosomal RNA", at positions 18 to 1387 of the family's 1533-position model. The record is from RNAcentral.
CUUGGCUCAGGACGAACGCUGGCGGCGCGCCUAACACAUGCAAGUCGAACGAGAGAUGAGGAGCUUGCUCUUCAGAUCGAGUGGCGAACGGGUGAGUAACGCGUGAGGAACCUGCCUCAAAGAGGGGGACAACAGUUGGAAACGACUGCUAAUACCGCAUAAGCCCACGGCUCGGCAUCGAGCAGAGGGAAAAGGAGCAAUCCGCUUUGAGAUGGCCUCGCGUCCGAUUAGCUAGUUGGUGAGGUAACGGCCCACCAAGGCGACGAUCGGUAGCCGGACUGAGAGGUUGAACGGCCACAUUGGGACUGAGACACGGCCCAGACUCCUACGGGAGGCAGCAGUGGGGAGUAUUGCACAAUGGGGGAAACCCUGAUGCAGCGACGCCGCGUGGAGGAAGAAGGUCUUCGGAUUGUAAACUCCUGUUGUUGAGGAAGAUAAUGACGGUACUCAACAAGGAAGUGACGGCUAACUACGUGCCAGCAGCCGCGGUAAAACGUAGGUCACAAGCGUUGUCCGGAAUUACUGGGUGUAAAGGGAGCGCAGGCGGGAGAACAAGUUGGAAGUGAAAUCCAUGGGCUCAACCCAUGAACUGCUUUCAAAACUGUUUUUCUUGAGUAGUGCAGAGGUAGGCGGAAUUCCCGGUGUAGCGGUGGAAUGCGUAGAUAUCGGGAGGAACACCAGUGGCGAAGGCGGCCUACUGGGCACCAACUGACGCUGAGGCUCGAAAGUGUGGGUAGCAAACAGGAUUAGAUACCCUGGUAGUCCACACCGUAAACGAUGAUUACUAGGUGUUGGAGGAUUGACCCCUUCAGUGCCGCAGUUAACACAAUAAGUAAUCCACCUGGGGAGUACGACCGCAAGGUUGAAACUCAAAGGAAUUGACGGGGGCCCGCACAAGCAGUGGAGUAUGUGGUUUAAUUCGACGCAACGCGAAGAACCUUACCAAGUCUUGACAUCCCUUGACGAUGCUGGAAACAGUAUUUCUCUUCGGAGCAAGGAGACAGGUGGUGCAUGGUUGUCGUCAGCUCGUGUCGUGAGAUGUUGGGUUAAGUCCCGCAACGAGCGCAACCCUUAUGGUCAGUUACUACGCAAGAGGACUCUGGCCAGACUGCCGUUGACAAAACGGAGGAAGGUGGGGAUGACGUCAAAUCAUCAUGCCCUUUAUGACUUGGGCUACACACGUACUACAAUGGCGUUAAACAAAGAGAAGCAAGACCGCGAGGUGGAGCAAAACUCAGAAACAACGUCCCAGUUCGGACUGCAGGCUGCAACUCGCCUGCACGAAGUCGGAAUUGCUAGUAAUCGUGGAUCAGCAUGCCACGGUGAAUAAAAGGCCGGGCCUUGCACA